GAUGAACGCUGGCGGCGUGCCUAAUACAUGCAAGUCGAGCGAACGGACGAGGAGCUUGCCCCUCUGACGUUACCGGCGGACGGGUGAGUAACACGUGGAUAACCUACCUAUAAGACUGGGAUAACUUCGGGAAACCGGAGCUAACACCGGACAAUAUAUUGAACCGCAUGGUUCAAUAGUGAAAGACGGUUUUGCUGUCACUUAUAGAUGGUUCCGCGCCGCAUUAGCUAGUUGGUGAGGUAACGGCUUACCAAGGCAACGAUGCGUAGCAGACCUGAGAGGGUGAUCGGCCACACUGGAACUGAGACACGGUCCAGACUCCUACGGGAGGCAGCAGUAGGGAAUCGUCCGCAAUGGGCGAAAGCCUGACGGAGCAAUGCCGCGUGAGUGAUGAAGGUCUUCGGAUCGUAAAUCUCUGUUAUUAGGGAAGAACAAAUGUGUAAGUAACUAUGCCCGUCUUGACGGUACCUAAUCAGAAAGCCACGGCUAACUACGUG
Molecule: ribosomal RNA, 497 nt
Filed under: uncultured bacterium
Lineage: Bacteria
Description: partial 16S ribosomal RNA
Rfam family: Bacterial small subunit ribosomal RNA
Source: RNAcentral